GGACGCCAGAUCCGCCAUCGACAGCACGUAUCUCCUCUUCUCCGCGUACCUCGUCUUCGCCAUGCAGCUGGGAUUCGCGAUGCUCUGCGCGGGAUCAGUGCGGGCCAAGAACACCAUGAACAUCAUGCUCACCAACGUGCUCGACGCCGCCGCGGGGGGGAUCUCCUACUAUCUCUUCGGCUUCGCCUUCGCCUUCGGCGCCCCCUCUAACGGCUUCAUCGGCCGCCAUUUCUUCGGCCUCAAGGACAUCCCCGCCGCAGGCGCCGACUACCCCUUCUUCCUCUACCAGUGGGCCUUCGCCAUAGCAGCGGCCGGGAUCACCUCCGGCUCGAUCGCCGAGCGGACUCAGUUCGUCGCCUACCUCAUCUACUCCUCUUUCCUCACCGGCUUCGUCUACCCGGUCGUCUCUCACUGGUUCUGGUCCGCCGACGGCUGGGCCAGCCCCAGCCGCCCCGAUAAUCUCCUCUUCGGAAGCGGAUCCAUCGACUUCGCGGGAUCGGGGGUCGUCCACAUGGUCGGCGGCAUCGCCGGCCUGUGGGGCGCCCUGAUCGAGGGGCCUCGCAUCGGGCGCUUCGACCACACUGGCCGUUCCGUCGCCCUGCGCGGCCACAGCGCCUCCCUGGUGGUGCUCGGCACCUUCCUCCUCUGGUUCGGAUGGUACGGCUUCAACCCGGGGUCCUUCCUCGUCAUCCUCAAGAACUACGGCGACCCCGGGUCCCCGAACGGGCAGUGGUCCGCGGUGGGGCGCACCGCCGUCACCACCACCCUCGCCGGCUGCGCCGCCGGGCUCACCACCCUCUUCGGGAAGCGCCUCCUCUCGGGGCACUGGAACGUGACCGACGUCUGCAACGGGCUU
This 856-nucleotide long non-coding RNA is filed under the name Spirodela polyrhiza (greater duckweed). Its description in RNAcentral is "long non-coding RNA (SPOL_LNC000584)". The record is from RNAcentral. Lineage: Eukaryota; Viridiplantae; Streptophyta; Magnoliopsida; Alismatales; Araceae.